Molecule: ribosomal RNA, 467 nt
Filed under: Morganella morganii
Lineage: Bacteria; Pseudomonadati; Pseudomonadota; Gammaproteobacteria; Enterobacterales; Morganellaceae
Description: bacterial SSU rRNA
Rfam family: Bacterial small subunit ribosomal RNA
Source: RNAcentral
AGCGGUGGACAUGUGGUUUAUUCGAUGCACGCGAAGAACCUUACCUACUCUUGACAUCCAGAGAACUUAGCAGAGAUGCUUUGGUGCCUUCGGGAACUCUGAGACAGGUGCUGCAUGGCUGUCGUCAGCUCGUGUUGUGAAAUGUUGGGUUAAGUCCCGCAACGAGCGCAACCCUUAUCCUUUGUUGCCAGCGCGUGAUGGCGGGAACUCAAAGGAGACUGCCGGUGAUAAACCGGAGGAAGGUGGGGAUGACGUCAAGUCAUCAUGGCCCUUACGAGUAGGGCUACACACGUGCUACAAUGGCGUAUACAAAGGGAAGCGACCCUGCGAAGGCAAGCGGAACUCAUAAAGUACGUCGUAGUCCGGAUUGGAGUCUGCAACUCGACUCCAUGAAGUCGGAAUCGCUAGUAAUCGUAGAUCAGAAUGCUACGGUGAAUACGUUCCCGGGCCUUGUACACACCGCCCGU